UGAGUGACUGACUGACGAGAGGUCACAGUGU
This 31-nucleotide non-coding RNA is filed under the name Homo sapiens (human). Lineage: Eukaryota; Metazoa; Chordata; Mammalia; Primates; Hominidae. The record is from RNAcentral.